AGAACGAACGCUGGCGGCGCGUCUUAAGCAUGCAAGUCGAACGGCAAGAGGUAGCAAUACCUCCUAGAGUGGCGGACUGGUGAGUAACACGUGGGUGACAUACCCUUCAGAUGGGGAUAGCUAUUAGAAAUAGUAGAUAAUACCGAAUACGAGCACAGGGGUUAGAGAUCUGUGAGGAAAGGAGCUAAGGCUCCGCUGAAGGAAUGGCCUGCGGCCCAUUAGCUAGUUGGUGAGGUAAGAGCCCACCAAGGCGAUGAUGGGCAUCCGGCCUUAGAGGGUGAACGGACACAUUGGGACUGAGAUACGGCCCAGACUCCUACGGGAGGCAGCAGCUAAGAAUAUUCCGCAAUGGACGAAAGUCUGACGGAGCGACGCCGCGUGGAUGAAGAAGGCCGGAAGGUUGUAAAAUCCUUUUGAAACUGAAGAAUAAGCGUUGUAGGGAAUGACAGCGUGGUGACAGUAGGUUUUGAAUAAGCAACGGCUAAUUACGUGCCAGCCGCCGC
Molecule: ribosomal RNA, 503 nt
Filed under: uncultured bacterium
Lineage: Bacteria
Description: bacterial SSU rRNA
Rfam family: Bacterial small subunit ribosomal RNA
Source: RNAcentral